Molecule: unclassified non-coding RNA, 528 nt
Filed under: Hevea brasiliensis (rubber tree)
Lineage: Eukaryota; Viridiplantae; Streptophyta; Magnoliopsida; Malpighiales; Euphorbiaceae
Source: RNAcentral
GGAAGGUUGCAGCACGUGAUGCAAUGUGAAAAGGACAGAGAUACAUAUUUUUUGGAGAAGUCACAAACACAUGCUGCUUCAAGUGGUGCAGAAAGCUUCAUUGAUGUGAGAAUUUUGUCAAGUUCUUUGGAGGCCAAGCUGACUGUUUGUUUUUGUGCUUUACAUGGAGAUGAAGAGGGUUCUGAGUGCCUGAGCAAUCCUCGAGAAAGGAAGGGUACUGGUAGAAGGGAGUUUACUAUCAUUUUUAACUCAAGAAUUUGUAAAGAUGUCGAACUUGAAAUAGGGAAUGUUAUCCGCAUACAUCAACCUUGGAAGGAGGUACAUGUGAACGAGAAAGACGAGGCCAUCAUUUUGUGUGCAUAUUUCUCUCAGAUUUAGUCUUUGGAUCACAUUUUAUACCAAGGUAAUAGCAAGGUUCCUUGAGAUAACUCUAUUGUUGUACUUUGCACUUGCCCUAUAUUUUCUAAAUAGAUAAAAAUAUAGAAGUCUAAUUUAUCCAUUUUCGCCAUAAAUAUUACUCAUGACUAC